RNAcentral lists this small RNA (28 nucleotides) under Bombyx mori (domestic silkworm). RNAcentral's name for it is "ovarian small RNA-33910". The record is from RNAcentral. Lineage: Eukaryota; Metazoa; Arthropoda; Insecta; Lepidoptera; Bombycidae.
UGCCUUGUGUCCGGGCUGACCGCAGCGA